RNAcentral lists this ribosomal RNA (450 nucleotides) under uncultured Glomeromycotina. Its description in RNAcentral is "SSU rRNA". It matches the Rfam family "Eukaryotic small subunit ribosomal RNA", at positions 569 to 1024 of the family's 1831-position model. The record is from RNAcentral. Lineage: Eukaryota; Fungi; Glomeromycota.
AGCAGCCGCGGUAAUUCCAGCUCCAAUAGCGUAUAUUAAAGUUGUUGCAGUUAAAAAGCUCGUAGUUGAAUUUCGGGGCCAGUAGGUUGGUCGUGCCACUGGUAUGCACUGGCCUCACUGGUCCCUCCUUCUUGUAGAACCGUGAUGGCAUUAAUUUGUUGUUGCGGGGAAACAGGACUGUUACUUUGAAAAAUUAGAGUGCUUAAAGCAGGCUCGCGCUUGAAUACAUUAGCAUGGAAUAACGAAAUAGGACGAUCGAACCUAUUUUGUUGGUUUCUAGGAUCGACGUAAUGAUUAAUAGGGAUAGUUGGGGGCAUUAGUAUUCAAUUGUCAGAGGUGAAAUUCUUGGAUUUAUUGAAGACUAACUACUGCGAAAGCAUUUGCCAAGGAUGUUUUCAUUAAUCAAGAACGAAAGUUAGGGGAUCGAAGACGAUCAGAUACCGUCGUAGU